GACGAACGCUGGCGGCGUGCUUAACACAUGCAAGUCGAACGGAAAGGCCCUGCUUUUGUGGGGUGCUCGAGUGGCGAACGGGUGAGUAACACGUGAGUAACCUGCCCUUGACUUUGGGAUAACUUCAGGAAACUGGGGCUAAUACCGGAUAGGAGCUCCUGCUGCAUGGUGGGGGUUGGAAAGUUUCGGCGGUUGGGGAUGGACUCGCGGCUUAUCAGCCUGUUGGUGGGGUAGUGGCUUACCAAGGCUUUGACGGGUAGCCGGCCUGAGAGGGUGACCGGCCACAUUGGGACUGAGAUACGGCCCAGAAUCCCACGGGAGGCAGCAGUGGGGAAUAUUGCACAAUGGGCGGCAGCCUGAUGCAGCAACGCCGCGUGCGGGAUGACGGCCUUCGGGUUGUAAACCGCUUUCGCCUGUGACGAAGCGUGAGUGACGGUAAUGGGUAAAGAAGCACCGGCUAACUACGUG
This 468-nucleotide ribosomal RNA is filed under the name uncultured bacterium. RNAcentral describes it as "partial 16S ribosomal RNA". It matches the Rfam family "Bacterial small subunit ribosomal RNA", at positions 28 to 507 of the family's 1533-position model. The record is from RNAcentral.